GAGUUUGAUCAUGGCUCAGAAUCAACGCUGGCGGCGUGCCUAACACAUGCAAGUCGAACGCGAAAGGGGAGCAAUCCCUGAGUAGAGUGGCGAACGGGUGAGUAACACGUGGGUGACCUGCCUUCGAGUGGGGGAUAACGUCCCGAAAGGGACGCUAAUACCGCAUGACAUCCUGCCUUUGAACAGGCGGUGAUUAAAGCUGGGGAUCGCAAGACCUGGCGCUUGAAGAGGGGCCCGCGCCCGAUUAGCUAGUUGGUGGGGUAAUGGCCUACCAAGGCUUCGAUCGGUAGCCGGCCUGAGAGGGCGGACGGCCACACUGGGACUGAGACACGGCCCAGACUCCUACGGGAGGCAGCAGUGGGGAAUUGUUCGCAAUGGGCGCAAGCCUGACGACGCAACGCCGCGUGGAGGACGAAGAUUUUCGGAUCGUAAACUCCUUUCGAUCGGGACGAAUCGUCUCCGACCUAAUACGUCGGGGGACUGACGGUACCGAGAGAAGAAGCCCCGGCUAACUCCGUGCUAGCCGCCGCGGUAAUAC
Molecule: ribosomal RNA, 538 nt
Filed under: uncultured bacterium
Lineage: Bacteria
Description: bacterial SSU rRNA
Rfam family: Bacterial small subunit ribosomal RNA
Source: RNAcentral